This 279-nucleotide ribosomal RNA is filed under the name uncultured bacterium. Its description in RNAcentral is "partial 16S ribosomal RNA". It matches the Rfam family "Bacterial small subunit ribosomal RNA", at positions 506 to 784 of the family's 1533-position model. The record is from RNAcentral.
UGCCAGCCGCCGCGGUAAUACGGAGGGGGCUAGCGUUGUUCGGAAUUACUGGGCGUAAAGCGCGCGUAGGCGGUUUAUCAAGUUAGACGUGAAAGCCCUGGGCUCAACCCAGGAACUGCGUUUGAUACUGGUUGACUAGAGGCCGGGAGAGGGUAGUGGAAUUCCCAGUGUAGAGGUGAAAUUCGUAGAUAUUGGGAAGAACACCGGUGGCGAAGGCGGCUACCUGGACCGGACCUGACGCUGAGGUGCGAAAGCGUGGGGAGCAAACAGGAUUAGAUA